AUUGAACGCUGGCGGCAGGCCUAACACAUGCAAGUCGAGCGGAUGAAGGGAGCUUGCUCCUGGAUUCAGCGGCGGACGGGUGAGUAAUGCCUAGGAAUCUGCCUGGUAGUGGGGGAUAACGUCCGGAAACGGGCGCUAAUACCGCAUACGUCCUGAGGGAGAAAGUGGGGGAUCUUCGGACCUCACGCUAUCAGAUGAGCCUAGGUCGGAUUAGCUAGUUGGUGGGGUAAAGGCCUACCAAGGCGACGAUCCGUAACUGGUCUGAGAGGAUGAUCAGUCAAACGGGAAGUGAGACAGGGCCCGGACUCUUCGGGGAGGCGGCAGGGGGAAAUUUUGGAAAAUGGGCGAAGGCUUGAUCCAGCCAUGCCGGGUGUGUGAAGAAGGUCUUCGGAUUGAAAAGCACUUUAAGUGGGGAGAAAGGGAAGAAAUUAAAUACCUUGCUUUUUUGCCUUUACCAAAAGAAAAGACACCGGCUAACUUCGUG
This 484-nucleotide ribosomal RNA is filed under the name uncultured bacterium. Its description in RNAcentral is "partial 16S ribosomal RNA". It matches the Rfam family "Bacterial small subunit ribosomal RNA", at positions 30 to 507 of the family's 1533-position model. The record is from RNAcentral.